RNAcentral lists this unclassified non-coding RNA (300 nucleotides) under Filomicrobium insigne. RNAcentral describes it as "Long range pseudoknot". Lineage: Bacteria; Pseudomonadati; Pseudomonadota; Alphaproteobacteria; Hyphomicrobiales; Hyphomicrobiaceae. The record is from RNAcentral.
AUUGAUGAGCACGACUACGACGUCAAGAUGCGGGCCAUCAAACGUUUCUUCGACGACGGCGAUAAGGUGAAGGUUACCCUGCGCUUCCGUGGUCGCGAAAUGGCGCACCAGCAACUUGGUAUGGCUGUACUUCAGCGGGUCAAGGGUGAGCUGGAAGAGAUUGCAAAGGUCGAGAGCGAACCACGCCUCGAAGGCCGCCAAAUGGUUAUGGUUUUGGCGCCGCGCUAACGUCGGGUUUCCGGAUCGCGCGCUUUUUGCGCGAUAGGAAGAACCCGAACGUUCACGAAUUGAACACCGAAA